AUUAAGAAUAUAGUAAUUACAAAAUAUUGAAUUUAUCUUCAACUCAAAAUAAAAUUCUACACCAAGACUCUUGACCUAUUACUACCCAAAACAUAUCCUAUUGCUGGUCAUAACUCUGAUACACUUGUGAGAAUCUCUCUCGACAAGGCUAACACCAAUGUCCACGAAUCUCCGAGCCUCAACUACACGUCACUACGCUCUCGCUGCGCAACUCUGAUUUACUGGAUUAGUAACCUGGCCAAAUUUUUACAUGAGGGUCGCUCCAAAACAUAGGAAAACAUCAAUUAAGCAUGCAUAUAUACAUAUGGAAAACUCAUAAAUUACCAAUAAUAAAAUAAGUAGUUAUCAAUCACUUACCACACGACACCAUAGUUACACUCUCUGAUGUUUCACCAAAUCAUAAAGAUUAGAUAUUUUAAUGCACCCUAUAUGAUCCGGAUAUCACCGCUCCGCAGAGUAAAUUGUCCCACCAUUGGACAGUGUCCCACCAUUGGACACAAUACCCCACCGUUGGGUAUUAUGGUUCGGUACCCCACCGUUGGGUAUUAUUCCAAACCACACCAAAAAGGAAAUGAAUGCCCUAUCACCACUAAGUUAGUCACACCAAAAAUUACUCCGCCGAGCAAUUAAUCAAAACAGUCUUGUUCUAACACCGAUUUUAGAGACAAGACCUCCCCAAUGAUAACCCCAAUCACCAACCAAAGACACCGUUGCUAACCCCAAUCACCAAAUCAGAAGACAUAAUAAAUCACAUUAACAACAAGGAAAUAAACUAUGCAUCACCAGAAUUCAUAUAUCAUUUACACACACCAUAAAGAUCACAUAGACAUAUGUAUAAUUAAAAUAAACAAGCAACGGAGGACCCUCUAACCUUAAUAGCAGCAACUCCUAAUCAACAUAUGCUUCAAUAUAAGCUCACACUUGCUGACAAAACCUAUUUGUUAAUUCUUAGUUGAUCUUCUGCUCAUCCCUCUUUGGCCAUUAAAUCUCUAAUUUUAAAGUUUCAUUGUCUCUUAAUUUUUUCUCUAUUUUCUAAGCGUAUAGAACCGGCAAGGGAAGGAAUAAUGGAAGUGAGAGAGAACCGAUAGUUACUUAUAUAGGUAUUAAUCCUCACACUAACUUCUUCCUAAAUAAAU
Molecule: long non-coding RNA, 1136 nt
Filed under: Trifolium pratense (red clover)
Lineage: Eukaryota; Viridiplantae; Streptophyta; Magnoliopsida; Fabales; Fabaceae
Description: long non-coding RNA (TPRA_LNC009274)
Source: RNAcentral